This 586-nucleotide ribosomal RNA is filed under the name uncultured bacterium. RNAcentral describes it as "partial 16S ribosomal RNA". It matches the Rfam family "Bacterial small subunit ribosomal RNA", at positions 355 to 1375 of the family's 1533-position model. The record is from RNAcentral.
UGGGGAAUUUUGGACAAUGGGCGAAAGCCUGAUCCAGCAAUGUCGCGUGUGUGAAGAAGGCCUUCGGGUUGUAAAGCACUUUUGUCCGGAAAGAAAUCCUUGGCUCUAAUACAGUCGGGGGAUGACGGUACCGGAAGAAUAAGCACCGGCUAACUACGUGCCAGCAGCCGCGGUAAUACGUAGGGUGCAAGCGUUAAUCGGAAUUACUGGGCGUAAAGCGUGCGCAGGCGGUUUGCUAAGACCGAUGUGAAAUCCCCGGGCUCAACCUGGGAACUGCAUUGGUGACUGGCAGGCUAGAGUAUGGCAGAGGGGGGUAGAAUUCCACGUGUAGCAGUGAAAUGGCGUAGAGAUGUGGAGGAAUACCGAUGGCGAAGGCAGCCCCCUGGGCCAAUACUGACGCUCAUGCACGAAAGCGUGGGGAGCAAACAGGAUUAGAUACCCUGGUAGUCCACGCCCUAAACGAUGUCAACUAGUUGUUGGGGAUUCAUUUCCUUAGUAACGUAGCUAACGCGUGAAGUUGACCGCCUGGGGAGUACGGUCGCAAGAUUAAAACUCAAAUGAAUUGACGGGGUCAUAGCUGUUUCCU